GGGCGGACCAACUGUGCCGCCGCGGGGCCCAGGUGGAGCCUCGGAAGGGGUUAUCGCUCCCGAGUCCGCAUGGCUGGCCUGAGGCUUCCUGCUGCACAGCCGACUUCCCCCACCCGAUCCUGCCCCCUCCCUGCCUCUGGGACUGACCCCUGUGCGUAGUGUGAACGCAAACCCCAUCCCGGGGUCGGCUUCCUGAGGGCCCACUCCGCAACUAGAAGGGGUAUUGGAAAUGGAUUCCUCGCCGCCCGGCUGCAACGAGGUGCCGCUGGGGUCGGACACACACACGUCUCCCUAGUGGCCCACCCGCCCCAGCUGUCACUGUGGCGAUCGGGCAGGGUGGGCCAGAGACCAGGCGGCCGCUGCCCAGCCCCUGACCGUUGUCAGAACCUCGACAGGGAAAGCUGGGACCUCGCCAUGUGGGUGGGGGACAUCCAGGUGGGUGUCCUUCGGAACAUUCUGCCUCUGCAGGGUUUGCUCACCUCUCCCUGGGAAGAGCCGCACCCCCGCCCCCAGCCGAAAUAGAACGCGGAGGCCUCAUCGUCCCCCCUGCCCUUGCCAAUCCCCGGCAACAUUUGUCCCCUUCAGGACGUCCACCUCCCCUCCUGGCCACUGGGCUGACACCCAGGGUUAAAUUGCAGCAUAACCGGGCUGGGGACGAGCUGGGUCUGACAGCUCAAGGACGGCGGAGGAUGAAGAGACCGAUGGGCUGUGUUGGCAGGAGCCGGGGACACGGGCGGCCCCAGCGGCUCCGCUGAGGGGCCGGAGCACGAGCCAGGCAGGUGUGAGACCCCACACGUACCAAGGGUUCUCAAAGCCCCCCUUCUUCUUGCGGCUCCUGCCUGAGGCUUCCUGAGCCAGCACAGGGCAGGCCAGAGUCUGGAACCCACACGCUGCACGGUGCCUGCAGCCAGCCCCCUCACCCACCGGCAACGGCGUGCACCCGUGACACGUCUCCCCUGGGUCCCAGUGUGCUGAGUACGGUUGCCCAGGAACGCCCCCUCCCCACCCCCUCUUACCUCAUACGCCCAAGAAAAAUUCCGUGCCCUAGUCUUGAGUCUUUGUUUCAGGGUCCGCAAGGGGAGCCUGGACCAGGGGAGUAAAAUCAAGCCAGCCCGGGACCAUCAACCGUGGCAGGUGGCCAGGAAUGCAAGUGUAAGAUCCCAGUCCUGUUCAGGGAUGGCCAGCGCCGGUGACUGAGGACAGAAGACAGAAGCCUGAGAAAAGCAGCAUAACUUGAAAGCAGAAAGUAAUGUCAUGCAAGUAAACCGAGCCACCUGACGGAGCUCCCGGGGGCCAGUGCAGGAACAAUGAGAGCAAGAAAUGAAUCAAGCAGGAUCGGAUUAUAACCGCAUAUAUCCAUUGUGCACGGAAGCAUGCCACCAACAGACCGGAAGAAAAUACCCACAAACCCCAUCUCUGAUGAGGGAUUCGCGUCCAGAAUAUGUAAGGGAUUCCUACAACUCGGGCCCCUGGCUGGCUCAGUCGGUAGAGCAUGUGACCCUUCCUCUCAGGGUCACGAGUUCAAGCCCCACAUCGGGCAUGGAGUGUACUUUAAGAAAAUACGUUAAAAAAAAAAAAAAGAAUUCCUACACCUCAACAACAACAGAAAUAAACAACCCAAUUGAAAAUGGGCAAAGGACUUGCACAGACAUUUUUGCAACAGGAGAUCCACACAUGGCAAAGAAGCACACGGAAAGCUGCUCACCGUCACUAAUCAUUAGGAAAAUGCAACUCAAAACCACAGUGACUUAUCCCUUCCCACCCAGUAGGAUGGCUAUUCUCAAAAAACAGAGAGCGACAAGGGUUAGGGAAGAGGCGGAGAGAUCGGGAUCCUGUGCGCAGACGGUGGGAAUGCGAAAUGGCUGCGUGGAAAAGUCUGGCGAGUCCUCAGAAAAGCAGACGUAGGAUGACCACGCUAUCCACGUAUGUACCUAAGAGAACUGCGAGCAGGGGGAUCCACGUCCGCCUGUGUUCAUAGCAGCGUUAUUCACGAUACAUAAAAGGUGGAGACAACCCAAAGCACCCCAAGGGAGGGACGGAUGGAUGGAGAAACGAAACAUAGUGUAUACAUAUGUGAUAAUAAAAAUUAUGCGUCAGCUCCACUGGGCUAAGGGCCCCCGACAGCGGCGAAGCGGUAUUUCUGGAUGCGUCUGUGAGGGCUUCUCUGGAAGAGACAAGCGUUUGGUUCUGUAAGCUGACUGUCCUCACCAAGCCAGGUGGGCCUUGUCCAGUCUGGUGAGGGCCCAAACGGAACGAAAAAGACAGAGGAAGGGUGAGUUUGCCCUCUGCCUGCGUGGGACGUCCUGCCUCUCUGGCCUUCGGACGCAGACUGAAUCGCCACGGGCUCUCCCGGGUCCGCAGCCCGCAGAGGGCAGAGGGUGGGACGCCGUGGCCUGCACAGCUGCGUGGAUCAGUUCCCGUGAUCAGUCUCCUCAGCUCAGUGUGCGUGUGUGCGUGCAUGCGCAUGUGUGUGCGUGCACGUGUGUGCAUACGUGCGUGUGUGCACGUGAGUGCGUGCGCAUGUGUGCGUGCGUGCGUGUGUAUCCUGUUUCUCUGGAGAACCCGCAUAGAAUGUACGAUGGAAUUAUUCAGCCAUAAAAAGGAACAAAAUGCUGGCAACUGCUACAACGUGGACGCACCUGGAAGACACUAUAUUCAGUGAAACAAGCCAGUCACAAAGGACAAAUACUAAGAGAACAUCCAGAUGGCCAACAGACAAAUGAAAAGAUGCUCAACUUCAUUAGUCAUCAGGGAAAUGCAAAUCAAAACCACAAUGAGAUGUCACCUCACACCUGUCAGAAUGGUAGAAUCAAAAACACAGUUGGGGCACCCGGGUGGCUCAGUGGGUUCAGCCUCUGACUUCAGCUCAGGUCGUGAUCUCACGUUUAUGAGUUUGGGCCCCGUGUCGGGCUCUGUGCUGUCAGUUCGGAGUCUGGAGCUGCUUCGGAUUCUGUGUCUUGCCCUCUCUCUGUCCCUCCCCCACUCACGUUCUGUCUUUCUCUGUCCCUCAAAAAAUGAAUAAACGUUAAAAAAUUUUUUUUAAUAUUUCACCACUACAAUAAACAUAAAUAUUGAUGAGUCCA
Long non-coding RNA from Acinonyx jubatus (cheetah), 3083 nucleotides. RefSeq lists it as uncharacterized. The record is from RefSeq and is a predicted model, not a curated record. The transcript is spliced from 2 exons. NCBI's taxonomy places the organism in Eukaryota, Metazoa, Chordata, Mammalia, Carnivora, Felidae.